CGCGGGGUAGAGCAGCUUGGUAGCUCGUCGGGCUCAUAACCCGGAGGUCGUGGGUUCAAGUCCCACCCCCGCAACCA
RNAcentral lists this transfer RNA (77 nucleotides) under Clostridiales bacterium. Its description in RNAcentral is "tRNA-Met". It matches the Rfam family "tRNA". From Rfam's summary of the family: Transfer RNA (tRNA) molecules are approximately 80 nucleotides in length. The record is from RNAcentral. Lineage: Bacteria; Bacillati; Bacillota; Clostridia; Eubacteriales. RNAcentral also lists the same sequence under 1 other name.